AGAACGAACGCUGGCGGCAUGCCUAAUACAUGCAAGUCGAACGAACUCUUCGGAGUUAGUGGCGCACGGGUGCGUAACGCGUGGGAAUCUGCCCUUGGGUUCGGAAUAACAGUUGGAAACGACUGCUAAUACCGGAUGAUGACGAAAGUCCAAAGAUUUAUCGCCCAGGGAUGAGCCCGCGUAGGAUUAGCUAGUUGGUGAGGUAAAGGCUUACCAAGGCGACGAUCCUUAGCUGGUCUGAGAGGAUGAUCAGCCACACUGGGACUGAGACACGGCCCAGACUCCUACGGGAGGCAGCAGUAGGGAAUAUUGGACAAUGGGCGAAAGCCUGAUCCAGCAAUGCCGCGUGAGUGAUGAAGGCCUUAGGUGUAAAGCUCUUUACCCGAGAUGAUAAUGACAGUAUCGGAGAAUAAGCCCCGGACUAACUCCGUGCCAGCAGCCGC
This 443-nucleotide ribosomal RNA is filed under the name uncultured soil bacterium. Its description in RNAcentral is "bacterial SSU rRNA". It matches the Rfam family "Bacterial small subunit ribosomal RNA", at positions 26 to 518 of the family's 1533-position model. The record is from RNAcentral.